Molecule: ribosomal RNA, 449 nt
Filed under: uncultured bacterium
Lineage: Bacteria
Description: partial 16S ribosomal RNA
Rfam family: Bacterial small subunit ribosomal RNA
Source: RNAcentral
GUCCAGACUCCUACGGGAGGCAGCAGUGGGGAAUAUUGCACAAUGGGGGGAACCCUGAUGCAGCGACGCCGCGUGGGUGAAGAAGCGUCUCGGCGCGUAAAGCCCUGUCAGCAGGGAAGAAAAUGACGGUACCUGAAGAAGAAGCCCCGGCUAACUACGUGCCAGCAGCCGCGGUAAUACGUAGGGGGCAAGCGGUAUCCGGAUUCACUGGGUGUAAAGGGAGCGUAGACGGCGGCGCAAGUCUGGAGUGAAAGCCCGGGGCCCAACCCCGGGACUGCUCUGGAAACUGCGGCGCUGGAGUACGGGAGGGGCAGGCGGAAUUCCUGGUGUAGCGGUGAAAUGCGUAGAUAUCAGGAGGAGCACCGGCGGCGAAGGCGGCCUGCUGGACCGUGACUGACGUUGAGGCUCGAGAGCGUGGGGAGCAAGCAGGAUUAGAUACCCCUGUAUGU